UACGAAAGGGGCUAGCGUUGUUCGGAAUUACUGGGCGUAAAGCGCACGUAGGCGGCUUUUCAAGUCGGGGGUGAAAUCCCGGGGCUCAACCCCGGAACUGCCUUCGAAACUGGAUCGCUUGAGGCCGUGAGAGGAGAGUGGAAUUCCGAGUGUAGAGGUGAAAUUCGUAGAUAUUCGGAAGAACACCGGUGGCGAAGGCGACUCUCUGGCGCGGUUCUGACGCUGAGGUGCGAAAGCGUGGGGAGCAAACAGG
RNAcentral lists this ribosomal RNA (253 nucleotides) under uncultured bacterium. RNAcentral describes it as "partial 16S ribosomal RNA". It matches the Rfam family "Bacterial small subunit ribosomal RNA", at positions 524 to 776 of the family's 1533-position model. The record is from RNAcentral.